UCCAGAAAGGGUGCGCUCCGGGAGCGAGGGGACUGCUCUGAGUUGCCACCGGGUGAGCCAGCUUGAUUUUUGGCGAGCUCCGCUCCGCUCUCUCCUACCUCUGCCUCUCGCCACGGCCCCGCGCAGCCUCCGCUCCAAUUCGCCCCGGCGCUCCCGCUCCGCGUUAUCCCUUGCAGAGUCUCCGCUGCCGCUGAUGCAUCAGAGCGAGGGGCUCUUGCUAUUCGCCUUUUGCAUAAAGGUUUUUUUUUUUUUUUCCUCCUUUUCCUCCUCUCUCCCUCCCUUCUCUGCCUCCUCUCUCUUUUUGCAGCUUGCAAACUGCAGCUGGAAGUGUUAGCUGGUGGUGUUGCGAGUAAAUUUGUUGUUGUUGGUUUGUUUUGUUAUUUUUAACACUUCAUGGUGCCUUUCCUCUGGGCUUUCUCAUGCAAAGUGCAGAGCGAGAAGAGACGUUCAUCGGGGAAGGGAGGAGGGAAAAAGAGAAGCGAAGGCAAAAAAAAAGAAAACAAGAAAAACAAAAAAUCAAAGUCUGUAUCGCAACUAAAAUAACAAAAACAGUUUAAAAAGAAGAAAAAGGGGGGAAACAACGCAAAAACACUCGACCCCAAAGCUACAGCAAGAAGAUGAAAAAUAUUUUAAAGGUUUCAUCCAGCAGGAGAGUUUAAAAGCAUUGCUGAGUUUUAUAGCGCUCCUGACGUCAAAUGGGAAAUUGGCUCGGCCGCCGGGCCAAUGGGCUGCCGCCUCCCGGCCCUCAUUAGCAUAAUAGUAUAGAAACAAGGAAACUUUUCGGAGCUGUCAAUCAGGGCCCCAUCAGCUGACUGUCAGCUGGGGAGCGCCUUAACCCCUUCCUACCCACCGCCGCCCGCCGCACUCACUGGGCAAACGGGUGCGGGACGGGGCCGCGGAGGGGGCCGCUGCUCUUCGCUAUCGCGCCGGCCUCCCCUCCCGCACCCCCCCAUCCUCCGGGAGGGGGAUGGGGCCGGGGCAGGGGGGGGCUGUGGAAGCGGCGAGCGGGCUGGACGCGGAGCUGCGGAUCGGCUCGGUUUAAACCUCGACAGCGCCAUCUCUCGUCGAAAGUGGUGUUACAGAAACACAGAACAACCCUGUAUCAGAGAAGAGGGGAAAGAAGCUGCAGCAAAGGAGCAGAAUCAAUUACUUACUUCCCAAUGGACUUGGCUGAGACUGUGCCACUGCAGCCUUUGCUCCAGCUGCGUUCCUGCUGACCUGGUCCAUGCCAUGAAUAGAAAACCCCAACUCUAUUGACUUCAAGAACUGCAGGAUUGAAUCCUUGAUCCUAUUGAAACCAAUGACAAAACUUGUAUUGAUUGCAAUGGAAGCAGGAUCGGGUCCUUAAUGUUAGCAAUUUGUUUAAGUCAGAGGGCUACAAGAAGUGAAGGACAUCAGCAGAUCUGCUGGCAAGAAUACAGGUAAGCUCCCCAAAAUUUAAAGGUAAAAUUCACUUGUGGUAGGUCAUCUUUACACUCAGGUAUUACCUUCUGUGUGCUGGGAUGCCUGUGUAUUUUGUCUGGACGCAUAAAGUCAGUCCUCCUGGGAGCCUUCAAAUGAGCACAUCUAUAAAUGUAGUGCAAUAAAAUGAGCUACUUUUGCCACUCGUGCUUUUCGCAAGCCCGGUACAAUCCAUUUCUGUGACGACAGUUUUCUGCCCCACACGCAUCUGAUACUGCUCUUUUAUUUUAAGGCUGAGAAAAUCUUCCCUUUAAACUCAUGCUGAGCAUCAAAUUGGACUCCACUUGCAGCUGAACAUCUUGACUGUCUCUUCCUUUCCUCCAUCAGCUCCAGUAUAUUUUGUGUAGAAUUCUCUCUGUUAAUAAAACUUACUUCUCCCUUAAUUCUGCAGUUUUGCAUUAGUGUUACUGAAGCCACCAUACCUGCCCUGUUUGAAAAUUGUACAAAGGAGAAGGGGGAAAAAAAGUGGUUUUUGUUUUUUUUUUUUUCCUGUACAAUCUCCUACUUUGCCAUUCUGCACAGAUUCUAAACGUACAUUCUCUACUCAUUUGACUGUAAAGUCUCUGUUGCUAAAUUAGAGUAAAAGUAGCUUGAAAAGGCAGGCUUAAACACAUAUUUUGGUUGCUUUUGUGUCACAUCCAAGAGGGCUUGUGUUUUAUCUCUGGGAAUUGCAAGGUAUUAGCAGCUGCUUAGAUUUUAUUCCCCUGGAAGUGCCUGACAGUCACUAUAUGGAAGAUGCAGCAUCGGUGCUACACCUGAGUGAGUGAGUUUGCUCUGGGUAUCCUGAGUCCAAAUGAGGUGACGGCUUUUUAGCAAUCAAAAUAUUUCCAUUGCUUGCUUAUAACAUUUGUAAAAUGCUAGAAAUAGUCCAAAUUAACUUUGCAUGAUCCAGAAACAGUUUCUCUAUCUAAAGGGAAGACAGCACAGAGGUGAGACUGAAAAGCUGCAGGUGACUCUAAUAUGUGUUUAAAGGUUGGUGUCACAAGAUUUGUACUGUGCUUGCUUCAUAAUGCAUGCCCUAGUUUACUAAUUUUCAUGAAUGGCUUUGCCUAAAUGUAAAAAUCAAUGAAGACAUUUUGAUGCUAAAAAACAAUCUAUUUAUCUAAAAGGAAUAAAAACUGAAAUUGCAAUAAAGAUUUUAUCAAACUUUAUGGUGGAAUUUAUAAUCUAUAACCUGGAUGAUCACAUUCAGUUAUACAGUGUGCUAUUUGUUCUGACAUUAGCUGAAGUGGGUAAAUAGAGAACCUGGUAAAAACUUGUGCAGAAAUUAAUCUGAAAACUCUACAGAGGCAGAAAACUAGUAUUAGUUAAGGAAAGAGAGUAAAACAAUUACAUUAAUGUUAUGUACCUGAGCUGUCCUGUUAAUGUCCUGCAAUAUGCACGCUGCAUUUAUAUCUAUUUUAGCUCAUAAGAAUCUAUGCUGCUUUUCUCCCUUCUGUUCCGCAUUAGGUUAUUUCAGCAGUAAGGAAUGGCUGCAGUGGCAGCAUGAAAAAAUAAGUGAAUUUUAUAUGCUAUCUCCUUAAAGUCACCCAUCAGUAAGUGGUGAGGAGGGCAUGAUUCUGAUGUGAUGUUUUGAUGUAUAACUGUGAAGGCUGAGACGGUCUUUAUUAAAAGUUACGAACUUCAGUGAAUUUUAAAC
Molecule: long non-coding RNA, 3100 nt
Filed under: Melopsittacus undulatus (budgerigar)
Lineage: Eukaryota; Metazoa; Chordata; Aves; Psittaciformes; Psittaculidae
Description: lncRNA (ENSMUNG00000018904.1)
Source: RNAcentral